This is a non-coding RNA of Cricetulus griseus (Chinese hamster), 535 nucleotides long. NCBI's taxonomy places the organism in Eukaryota, Metazoa, Chordata, Mammalia, Rodentia, Cricetidae. The record is from RefSeq and is a predicted model, not a curated record.
GAAGGCAAAUGUAUGGAACUGGAAGAAAGCAUCCUGAGUGAGGUAACAGAAAGACAAACAUGGUUGUCUUUGAGCUGAUGGAAGAAAGUGGCACUGUGAUUUGGAUUCUGUGAGCUGUAAGAUGCAAUCACAAUAGAAGACACAGAGAAGCACUGGUAUCAUGCCUGGGUGGGCAAGUGUGGCACAUGUGUGCAUCUCAGGUUCUCAGCCUGUAAAGGAGGAUCAGUUGGGGUCCAGAGUUCUAGAUCAGUCUGACAAAGUUUAAAGAAAAAUAUAAAAACUGGGCAUGCUAGUGCACACCUGGUACCUAGUGCCUGGGAGCAGAAACAGGGCAACAUAAGUUUGAGGUCAGCUUGGGCUACACAGUAAGUUCCAGAUCAAAUUGGAAAAUGCACUUUAGCCCCUGCUAUUGCCACUGCCCCUGGAUCAUCUUUUAGAUGCUUCCACACAGCAUAAGUCAACAAAUGGGCACCCACGUAUUGUGUUUUUAAAAAUUGUUCUUUUCUCCUAAAUAAAAAGGCUUGCUUAUUUUUGC